RNAcentral lists this ribosomal RNA (626 nucleotides) under uncultured Russulaceae. Its description in RNAcentral is "LSU rRNA". It matches the Rfam family "Eukaryotic large subunit ribosomal RNA", at positions 47 to 649 of the family's 3401-position model. The record is from RNAcentral. Lineage: Eukaryota; Fungi; Basidiomycota; Agaricomycetes; Russulales; Russulaceae.
UAAGCGGAGGAAAAGAAACUAACAAGGAUCCCCUAGUAACUGCGAGUGAAGCGGGAAAAGCUCAAAUUUAAANUCUGGCGGUCUUUGNCCGUCCGAGUUGUAAUUUAGAGAAGCGUCUUCCGCGCUGGACCGUGCACAAGUCUCCUGGAAUGGAGCGUCAUAGAGGGUGAGAAUCCCGUCUUUGGCACGGAUGCCUGGUGCUUCUGUGAUGCGCUCUCGAAGAGUCGAGUUGUUUGGGAAUGCAGCUCAAAAUGGGUGGUGAACUCCAUCUAAAGCUAAAUAUUGGCGAGAGACCGAUAGCGAACAAGUACCGUGAGGGAAAGAUGAAAAGCACUUUGGAAAGAGAGUGAAACAGUACGUGAAAUUGUUGAAAGGGAAACGCUUGAAGUCAGUCGCGUCGACCGAGACUCAGCCUUGCCUUGGCUUGGUGUACUUCUCGGCCCGACGGGUCAGCAUCAAUUUUGCCCCUCGGAUAAUGGCAAGGGAAAGGUGGCACCUUUACGGGUGUGUUAUAGUCUCCUGUCGAAUGCGAGGGGUGGGAUUGAGGAACUCAGCGCGCACCUCAGUGUCGGGGCUUCGGCCCACGUCACGCGCUUAGGAUGCUGGCGUAAUGGCUUUAAACGACC